Molecule: transfer RNA, 34 nt
Filed under: Alexandrium catenella
Lineage: Eukaryota; Dinophyceae; Gonyaulacales; Pyrocystaceae
Description: partial Selenocysteine transfer RNA
Source: RNAcentral
CGGGCUGGCUGCUGGUCGAGGGCCCGGGCUUCAA